AAAGGUUUGGUCCCAGCCUUCCUGUCAUCUUUAGCUAGACUUACACAUGCAAGUAUCCGCACCCCCGUGAGAAUGCCCUCUAGUCCCCCUACGCGGGGACAAGGAGCCGGUAUCAGGCACACUAAUUUGUUGCCCACGACACCUUGCUCAGCCACACCCUCAAGGGUCUUCAGCAGUGAUAAACAUUAGGCCAUAAGUGAAAACUUGACUUAGUUACAGCUAACAGGGCCGGUAAACCUCGUGCCAGCAACCGCGGUUAGACGAGAGGCCCAAGUUGACAAUCAUCGGCGUAAAGGGUGGUUAAGUUAGUCUUCACUAAACUAAAGCCGAACGCCCCCAAGACCGUUAUACGUAUUCGGAGGUAUGAAGCCCAACUACGAAAGUGGCUUUAAAAUACCUGACCCCACGAAAGCUGUGGAACAAACUGGGAUUAGAUACCCCACUAUGCUCAGCCCUAAACUUUGAUAGCUAAUCUACACCCGCUAUCCGCCCGGGAACUACAAGCACAAGCUUAAAACCCAAAGGACUUGGCGGUGCUUAAGAUCCACCUAGAGGAGCCUGUUCUAGAACCGAUACUCCCCGUUCAACCUCACCCUCUCUUGUUCAUACCGCCUAUAUACCGCCGUCGUCAGCUCACCCUGUAAAGGACUAGUAGUAAGCAAAAUUGGCAUGGCCCAAAACGCCAGGUCGAGGUGUAGCGUAUGAGAGGGGAAGAAAUGGGCUACAUUUCCUAAUCAGGAAAUACGGACAAUAAAAUGAAAUACCAAUUAGAAGGAGGAUUUAGUAGUAAAUGAAAAACAGAGAGUCUCAUUGAAAUCGGCCCUAAAGCGCGCACACACCGCCCGUCACCCUCCCCGAAAAACCCUGUCUUAUAACUAAUUAGUCGAAUAAACACAAGGGGAGGCAAGUCGUAACAUGGUAAGUGUACCGGAAGGUGCACUUGGA
Molecule: non-coding RNA, 945 nt
Filed under: Minimugil cascasia (yellowtail mullet)
Lineage: Eukaryota; Metazoa; Chordata; Actinopteri; Mugiliformes; Mugilidae
Description: partial 12S ribosomal RNA
Rfam family: Bacterial small subunit ribosomal RNA
Source: RNAcentral